CUUCGCCAUGGCUUCCACACAGCUGCCUCCAUUCAGUACAUAACCUAUAUACUGCAUAACGAUACACAAAGUACAGUAACAUGUCAGCUUUUGAGCAGAAAUUGUUAGCCUUCUGACUGCAGGAGUAUAUCAGCACUCUGCCAGGAAAACAAAACACACCACGCCAAGUAACACAAUGGCUGAGUCAAGGAUAGCACUAAUGAAAAACAGCAUCAAGCAGCAAGUUGUUGGACAAUAACAUUAAAAACCUUUUCUUUUUUCCUGUAAUUUACAAAUACGAGAAGUAUCAGGUUACUUAAAAUUAAGAAGCAUUUUGCUUACUAACAUGAAACAUUACUAAUUUGUAAUGUAUCAUCAUUAACCAGGUAUACAGGUUUCUGUGUCCCUGUGGUUUUUAUGGCACAUGGUGCCUGUUUGGGUAGGUCACUCCUUGGACAGAGGGAAGAUCAGUAAUAGACAAAACCAUUCCUCAGUUUUCCACUGUAUUCCACUCUCCCCUUUAUGAUCUGCCACUCGACAGCCUUGGUUUAACCACGAGAUGGACGUACUUAAAAAAAACCCAACACACAAAACACAGAUACAAUGUGCAUCAACAAAUCAACUGCUUCUGGCCUGCAGUGCAGGAAACAUCCCUGCACCAUAACACAGUGAAAUUCCAGGACCAGAACCAAUUACUACAGCAAUUGUUUUUUGCAUAUUUAAAAUCUAUUACAGUAUCUACAAUUAAAAAAAAAAACAACAACACAACUUAGAGGAACAAGGAAUGAAAGGAGAACAGCCUUAUCGAGUAAGUCUCAUUCUACAUUUUUGGAUGCUGUGACAGUCUGACAAAGCUGAAGGGGACAGGAAAAUAUUGGUGAGAAGGAAGACGAAGCAACAGCUUUACAGAGAAAAGCAUUAAGGAGUCCUCAGAAACAGUAUUGGCAGCAGCUGUUUUACUGAAUGCUCAAAACUAUUGCUGUCUGAAGACAAAAGGCACUGUAUCAUAAAUCCUCUUUGUCAGUGUUACACAGAUAGCCAAAGACAGGAUACCAGGCAAGGACAAUGCUUCAGAGCAGCCUCAACAGCAUGGCCAUCCACAUUCUGACAACUCCAGCCUCCUCCAGCAAGUGCCAAACACACAGCUCACUUACAGCUUUGGAGCAGCAUCAGGUCUUCCUUCCUUUCCCAGGCUGAAUUAUACCCAUAGCUCCCCAUACUUCUGGGAGCUGAGCAGCUUGCUGAGCACUUGUGGUAUAUAUCAUAGAAUUGCCUCACCUCAGGAAGGUGAGCUGAAGUGGCAGGGGUAUCACUAAACAAGUGCACCAAUAAAGUCAAAUUUAAGACAGCUAAACCUAACUUCAUGUUGGAUUUAUAAUCCAAUGUUCUCCACAGAUCUGCACGGUACAGUUUAGCAAAGAGGCUUAGUGAAGAGCUAGGAAUAGCCUUGACAACACAUUUCAGUCCUCAGAAAUGAGCCUCACACAACUAGAGAUAGUAUGUUUCACAUACAUCUUUUUAUGUUUCACAAGCCCCAUAAAACCCUCCCUCUGUAUACCUGCUAAUAUACCAAGCCAACACAAAGCUUGAGUUAACGGGAGGAAUAAGGCCAUACACAGUUCUGAACUGCAGGAAUUUAGGGUGUGCCUAACUCACCAUGUAAAUCCCAUAGGAAAGGCUGCUCUGAAACAGCAGCCUUUUCUCCUGUCCAGCACCCAGAUUCUCUUCAGCAUCCUUUGAGGAUGACAGGGACCAUAACCUGCUCUCACAUCUUUAAGAGGGACACACUGUCAUGACUAGACCAGAAAUCACUGUGAGCAUGCCACAUCUGGUACCCAGCCUCCAGCUGGAGCCUGGGACUUGCAGGGAACAAGGAGGAGCCCUCAAAAGGCAGAUGCCAUCUACGGCAGCUACAGAGUGCAAACACUGCCCACAAGCUUAGCAUGCUGGCUACCCUUGGCAUCUGCUUCAUAUACCUGGGUUCUGGGAUUUGUAGGUUAGUAUCUCUGCAGCUAGCUUUUGGGGAUCCAAAAGCUGAGGGAAACGGUUCAUCACAGCAUCAACUAAAUGGGGAUGGAAUAUGCCACACAGUUUGACAUGAAUGUUGGCCCUCUCCUCUGCAAACUGAUCAGAGACAUUCCACUGACAGGAGUCACCAUAUGUUGGCCCUGGGGCUCUCUGCACUGAGUGAGGAUCUCGAACGCUGGUAGAUCUCACCUGGGGAGGAGGCAUCUGGUAGGGCUCAGACCAGUACUCACGAGAAUGAAGUGAAGGAAGAGAAGGGGCAUUAUACUCACUGGGGAGACUGUACUGCCCAGCAUUAGCUGGAUGGACAGGUACUCCAUAGCCUGAGAAAGAGUGAGGUGGCCCUGAGUGAGGUAUCUCAGGGUUAUACUGCAAGAAGCUAGCACCAGAAGCAGAAGAUUUAUGGGAACCAUGCUUGUAAGAGACCAGACCAUUUUGCUCUAAGCUAGGAGAGUGUGGGUAGACAGGUCUCUGCCUACCACAGGUGCAGACUGUCACCUGCUCAGCAUGGGAGUGAUCACAGUGACUGGUAGAUCUGUAAGGCCACAUGUCAGACAAUUGGUUCUCCAGAGACCCAAUGCCUGAGUCAAGAUGCUCCUGAGAGAUGUAAGACAGAGAGUCCAUAUGAGGAUGCUGGUACCUUUCAGAGGACCUGUGGCUCCCACUGUUAGCAGGAACACUGCCUGACACACAGCCUUUGAUCUGAAGUGGAACAUCACUGGGCUUUGUUUUAUGUGUCAAGCUUUUCCUCUCUGCAGAGAUCUUCUGCAAAGAGCUUUUAUCACUCUCUGUGGGCACAGAGCACAAGAGCUCUGCCUGGGAACCUCUUUUGCCCUUUUUCUCCUCCUUGACAGCACUGGUACUUCUGGUAGGAGACAAUCUUGCAUUGGCUCGGAGUUCAUCAGCUAAUGAGCGCUGGGGCUGAUUGAUCCUUUCAGGGUGGUAGAAUUUACACUUAAUUCCAU
This 2969-nucleotide long non-coding RNA is filed under the name Gallus gallus (chicken). RNAcentral's name for it is "long non-coding RNA NONGGAT005165". The record is from RNAcentral. Lineage: Eukaryota; Metazoa; Chordata; Aves; Galliformes; Phasianidae.